GCGGGACACGUGGUAUCCUGUCUGAAUAUGGGGGGACCAUCCUCCAAGGCUAAAUACUCCUGACUGACCGAUAGUGAACCAGUACCGUGAGGGAAAGGCGAAAAGAACCCCGGCGAGGGGAGUGAAAAAGAACCUGAAACCGUGUACGUACAAGCAGUGGGAGCCUCUUAAUGGGGUGACUGCGUACCUUUUGUAUAAUGGGUCAGCGACUUAUAUUCUGUAGCAAGGUUAACCGAAUAGGGGAGCCGAAGGGAAACCGAGUCUUAACUGGGCGUUAAGUUGCAGGGUAUAGACCCGAAACCCGGUGAUCUAGCCAUGGGCAGGUUGAAGGUUGGGUAACACUAACUGGAGGACCGAACCGACUAAUGUUGAAAAAUUAGCGGAUGACUUGUGGCUGGGGGUGAAAGGCCAAUCAAACCGGGAGAUAGCUGGUUCUCCCCGAAAGCUAUUUAGGUAGCGCCUCGUGAAUUCAUCUCCGGGGGUAGAGCACUGUUUCGGCAAGGGGGUCAUCCCGACUUACCAACCCGAUGCAAACUGCGAAUACCGGAGAAUGUUAUCACGGGAGACACACGGCGGGUGCUAACGUCCGUCGUGAAGAGGGAAACAACCCAGACCGCCAGCUAAGGUCCCAAAGUCAUGGUUAAGUGGGAAACGAUGUGGGAAGGCCCAGACAGCCAGGAUGUUGGCUUAGAAGCAGCCAUCAUUUAAAGAAAGCGUAAUAGCUCACUGGUCGAGUCGGCCUGCGCGGAAGAUGUAACGGGGCUAAACCAUGCACCGAAGCUGCGGCAGCGACACUAUGUGUUGUUGGGUAGGGGAGCGUUCUGUAAGCCUGUGAAGGUGGCCUGUGAGGGGUGCUGGAGGUAUCAGAAGUGCGAAUGCUGACAUAAGUAACGAUAAAGCGGGUGAAAAGCCCGCUCGCCGGAAGACCAAGGGUUCCUGUCCAACGUUAAUCGGGGCAGGGUGAGUCGACUCCUAAGGCGAGGCCGAAAGGCGUAGUCGAUGGGAAACAGGUUAAUAUUCCUGUACUUGGUGUUACUGCGAAGGGGGGACGGAGAAGGCUAUGUUGGCCGGGCGACGGUUGUCCCGGUUUAAGCGUGUAGGCUGGUUUUCCAGGCAAAUCCGGAAAACCAAGGCUGAGGCGUGAUGACGAGGCACUACGGUGCUGAAGUGACAAAUGCCCUGCUUCCAGGAAAAGCCUCUAAGCAUCAGGUAACAUCAAAUCGUACCCCAAACCGACACAGGUGGUCAGGUAGAGAAUACCAAGGCGCUUGAGAGAACUCGGGUGAAGGAACUAGGCAAAAUGGUGCCGUAACUUCGGGAGAAGGCACGCUGAUAUGUAGGUGAAGCGACUUGCUCGUGGAGCUGAAAUCAGUCGAAGAUACCAGCUGGCUGCAACUGUUUAUUAAAAACACAGCACUGUGCAAACACGAAAGUGGACGUAUACGGUGUGACGCCUGCCCGGUGCCGGAAGGUUAAUUGAUGGGGUUAGCGGUAACGCGAAGCUCUUGAUCGAAGCCCCGGUAAACGGCGGCCGUAACUAUAACGGUCCUAAGGUAGCGAAAUUCCUUGUCGGGUAAGUUCCGACCUGCACGAAUGGCGUAAUGAUGGCCAGGCUGUCUCCACCCGAGACUCAGUGAAAUUGAACUCGCUGUGAAGAUGCAGUGUACCCGCGGCAAGACGGAAAGACCCCGUGAACCUUUACUAUAGCUUGACACUGAACAUUGAGCCUUGAUGUGUAGGAUAGGUGGGAGGCUUUGAAGUGUGGACGCCAGUCUGCAUGGAGCCGACCUUGAAAUACCACCCUU
Molecule: ribosomal RNA, 1805 nt
Filed under: Escherichia coli
Lineage: Bacteria; Pseudomonadati; Pseudomonadota; Gammaproteobacteria; Enterobacterales; Enterobacteriaceae
Description: partial 23S ribosomal RNA
Rfam family: Bacterial large subunit ribosomal RNA
Source: RNAcentral